RNAcentral lists this ribosomal RNA (700 nucleotides) under uncultured Alphaproteobacteria bacterium. RNAcentral describes it as "bacterial SSU rRNA". It matches the Rfam family "Bacterial small subunit ribosomal RNA", at positions 56 to 727 of the family's 1533-position model. The record is from RNAcentral. Lineage: Bacteria; Pseudomonadati; Pseudomonadota; Alphaproteobacteria.
UGCAGUCGAGCGCCCCCUUCAGAGGACAGAGUACGGAAUACGGGGAUCGGAAGGUUUGACCUUCUGAUACCGGUUUUCUGUUUUCUGUAUUCUGAUGGGGGAGCGGCGGACGGGUGAGUAACGCGUGGGAAUUUUCCUCAAGGUACGGAACAACUCAGGGAAACUUGGGCUAAUACCGUAUGAUGUCUAGCGACCAAAGAUUUAUCGCCUUGGGAUAAGCCCGCGUCAGAUUAGGUAGUUGGUGGGGUAACGGCCUACCAAGCCUGCGAUCUGUAGCUGGUCUGAGAGGACGAUCAGCCACACUGGGACUGAGACACGGCCCAGACUCCUACGGGAGGCGGCAGUGGGGAAUCUUGCGCAAUGGGCGAAAGCCUGACGCAGCCAUGCCGCGUGAAUGAUGAAGGUCUUAGGAUUGUAAAGUUCUUUCGCCCGUGACGAUGAUGACGGUAACGGGAGAAGAAGCCCCGGCUAACUUCGUGCCAGCAGCCGCGGUAAUACGAAGGGGGCUAGCGUUGUUCGGAAUUACUGGGCGUAAAGCGCGCGUAGGCGGUUUUGCAAGCCAGAGGUGAAAUGCCUGAGCUCAACUUAGGAAUUGCCUUUGGGACUGCGAGGCUUUGAGGACGGAAGAGGUGAGUGGAAUUCCCAGUGUAGAGGUGAAAUUCGUAGAUAUUGGGAAGAACACCGGUGGCGAAGGCGGCUC